RNAcentral lists this ribosomal RNA (255 nucleotides) under uncultured bacterium. Its description in RNAcentral is "partial 16S ribosomal RNA". It matches the Rfam family "Bacterial small subunit ribosomal RNA", at positions 15 to 266 of the family's 1533-position model. The record is from RNAcentral.
GAUCCUGGCUCAGGAUGAACGCUAGCUACAGGCUUAACACAUGCAAGUCGAGGGGCAGCAUGACCUAGCAAUAGGUUGAUGGCGACCGGCGCACGGGUGAGUAACACGUAUCCAACCUACCGGUUAUUCCGGGAUAGCCUUUCGAAAGAAAGAUUAAUACCGGAUAGUAUAACGAGAAGGCAUCUUUUUGUUAUUAAAGAAUUUCGAUAACCGAUGGGGAUGCGUUCCAUUAGAUAGUAGGCGGGGUAACGGCCC